CGUACGAUACGAGUUUGAUCAUGGCUACAGAACGACGCUGGCGGCAUGCCUAACACAUGCAAGUCGAACGAAGGCUUCGGCCUUAGUGGCGCACGGGUGCGUAACGCGUGGGAAUCUGCCCUUGGGUUCGGAAUAACUCAGAGAAAUUUGAGCUAAUACCGGAUGAUGACGUAAGUCCAAAGAUUUAUCGCCCAAGGAUGAGCCCGCGUAAGAUUAGCUAGUUGGUGGGAUAAAGGCCUACCAAGGCGACGAUCUUUAGCUGGUCUGAGAGGAUGAUCAGCCACACUGGGACUGAGACACGGCCCAGACUCCUACGGGAGGCAGCAGUGGGGAAUAUUGGACAAUGGGCGAAAGCCUGAUCCAGCAAUGCCGCGUGAGUGAUGAAGGCCUUAGGGUUGUAAAGCUCUUUUACCAGGGAUGAUAAUGACAGUACCUGGAGAAUAAGCUCCGGCUAACUCCGUG
This 462-nucleotide ribosomal RNA is filed under the name uncultured bacterium. RNAcentral describes it as "bacterial SSU rRNA". It matches the Rfam family "Bacterial small subunit ribosomal RNA", at positions 1 to 507 of the family's 1533-position model. The record is from RNAcentral.